Eptesicus fuscus (big brown bat) is the source of this 103-nucleotide small nuclear RNA. Lineage: Eukaryota; Metazoa; Chordata; Mammalia; Chiroptera; Vespertilionidae. The record is from RefSeq and is a predicted model, not a curated record.
GUGCUCGCUUCGGCAGCACAUACACUAAAACUGGAACGAUACAGAGAUUAGCAUGGCCCUGCGCAAGGACGACACGCAAAUUCGUGAAGGGCUCCGUAUUUUA